Molecule: ribosomal RNA, 428 nt
Filed under: uncultured Verrucomicrobiota bacterium
Lineage: Bacteria; Pseudomonadati; Verrucomicrobiota
Description: bacterial SSU rRNA
Rfam family: Bacterial small subunit ribosomal RNA
Source: RNAcentral
UCGAGAAUUUUUCACAAUGGGCGCAAGCCUGAUGGAGCGACGCCGCGUGGGGGAUGAAUGGCUUCGGCCCGUAAACCCCUGUCAUUCGCGAGCAAACCUUGUUAUUUAAAAGAUGACGAGCUGAUAGUAGCGGAAGAGGAAGGGACGGCUAACUCUGUGCCAGCAGCCGCGGUAAUACAGAGGUCCCAAGCGUUGUUCGGAUUCACUGGGCGUAAAGGGUGCGUAGGUGGUGAGGUAAGUCGGAUGUGAAAUCUCGGAGCUCAACUCCGAAAUGGCAUUGGAAACUACCUUGCUCGAGGAUUGGAGGGGGGACUGGAAUUCUCGGUGUAGCAGUGAAAUGCGUAGAUAUCGAGAGGAACACCAGUGGCGAAGGCGAGUCCCUGGACAACUCCUGACACUGAGGCACGAAAGCUAGGGGAGCAAACAGG